This 157-nucleotide small RNA is filed under the name Chelativorans petroleitrophicus. RNAcentral describes it as "Alphaproteobacterial sRNA ar9". It matches the Rfam family "Alphaproteobacterial sRNA ar9". RNAcentral also lists the same sequence under 1 other name. The record is from Rfam by way of RNAcentral. Lineage: Bacteria; Pseudomonadati; Pseudomonadota; Alphaproteobacteria; Hyphomicrobiales; Phyllobacteriaceae.
AUAAAAUAAGAGGGUGGAACCUUAAAUCCGCUCUCACUUACGCGGUCAAAGUCUUGGGAGGAUACGAUCCUGGCGCGCAUGUUCGCUGCCGCCGUUUGAAAAACGGAAACGGGUCGGACGCGUUUAGUUGCAAGGCGUACCUGCCUUGCUUUUUUUU